Molecule: ribosomal RNA, 497 nt
Filed under: uncultured bacterium
Lineage: Bacteria
Description: partial 16S ribosomal RNA
Rfam family: Bacterial small subunit ribosomal RNA
Source: RNAcentral
GAUGAACGCUGGCGGCGUGCCUAAUACAUGCAAGUCGAGCGAACAGACGAGGAGCUUGCUCCUCUGACGUUAGCGGCGGACGGGUGAGUAACACGUGGAUAACCUACCUAUAAGACUGGGAUCACUUCGGGAAACCGGAGCUAAUACCGGAUAAUAUAUUGAACCGCAUGGUUCAAUAGUGAAAGACGGUUUUGCUGUCACUUAUAGAUGGAUCCGCGCCGCAUUAGCUAGUUGGUAAGGUAACGGCUUACCAAGGCGACGAUGCGUAGCCGACCUGAGAGGGUGAUCGGCCACACUGGAACUGAAACACGGUCCAGACUCCUACGGGAGGCAGCAGUAGGGAAUCGUCCGCAAUGGGCGAAAGCCUGACGGAGCAACGCCGCGUGAGUGAUGAAGGUCUUCGGAUCGUAAAACUCUGUUAUUAGGGAAGAACAAAUGUGUAAGUAACUAUGCACGUCUUGACGGUACCUAAUCAGAAAGCCACGGCUAACUACGUG